AGGGGGUUAGCUCACUGGCACAGCGCUUGCUUGACAAGCGUGAGGUCCUGAGUUCGAUUCCUGGUUCCCCCU
RNAcentral lists this transfer RNA (72 nucleotides) under Cavia porcellus (domestic guinea pig). It matches the Rfam family "tRNA". Rfam says of the family: Transfer RNA (tRNA) molecules are approximately 80 nucleotides in length. Their secondary structure includes four short double-helical elements and three loops (D, anti-codon, and T loops). Further hydrogen bonds mediate the characteristic L-shaped molecular structure. tRNAs have two regions of fundamental functional importance: the anti-codon, which is responsible for specific mRNA codon recognition, and the 3' end, to which the tRNAs corresponding amino acid is attached (by aminoacyl-tRNA synthetases). tRNAs cope with the degeneracy of the genetic code in two manners: having more than one tRNA (with a specific anti-codon) for a particular amino acid; and 'wobble' base-pairing, i.e. permitting non-standard base-pairing at the 3rd anti-codon position. The record is from Rfam by way of RNAcentral. Lineage: Eukaryota; Metazoa; Chordata; Mammalia; Rodentia; Caviidae.